GGUAUCUAGGGACAAGAUUCGAUAUCUGGCCUGCCCAAUGAUCUAGGUUGAAUGGCCGCAGUAUCUUGACUGUGCAAAGGUAGCAUAAUCAAUUGUCUACUAAUUGUAGGCUUGAAUGAAAGGUUGGACUUGGUUGUGCUUUUUUAGGGAUUAGGAUGAAUUUAGGAUUUUUGUAAAAAUGCAGAAAUGACUUUGUGAGACGAGAAGACCCUGUUGAGCUUGAUAUGAAAGUGUGCAGUGAGGAAGAGAAGUUCAGAGUGGGCAGGGUAUUUUACUGGGGCGGUGAAGCUGCUAAAAACGUGGGUGUCUGAUCCACUAUAGGUGAUCUAGGGAGAAAGUUACUGCAGGGAUAACAGCGUAAUACUAUUUGAUAGGUCUUAUUGACAAUAGUGUUUGUGACCUCGAUGUUGGUUUAAGAAGUCUAUGCGGAAGUAUAAGGUCUAACAGAUGGUUUGUUCAACCAUUAAAAUUUUAUG
RNAcentral lists this ribosomal RNA (476 nucleotides) under Cryptops spinipes. RNAcentral's name for it is "partial 16S ribosomal RNA". It matches the Rfam family "Bacterial large subunit ribosomal RNA", at positions 1828 to 2600 of the family's 2925-position model. The record is from RNAcentral. Lineage: Eukaryota; Metazoa; Arthropoda; Chilopoda; Scolopendromorpha; Cryptopidae.